Molecule: non-coding RNA, 3225 nt
Organism: Taeniopygia guttata (zebra finch)
Lineage: Eukaryota; Metazoa; Chordata; Aves; Passeriformes; Estrildidae
Source: RefSeq, a predicted model, not a curated record
AGAAGAUUGUGAAUAUGCUAAAAAUAGUAACUGUAGAAGACUUGAAUCCAUCCAGAAGCUAAAAUUAAAUAGUCUUUUGUGUCACGUUACUUCACUCCCAGACAAUGCUUAAGUGUAUGGGAUUUCUUCUUUACAUUAGGAUGCCUUUCACAGUAAAAAAGAACAUGUUCUAGUAUGUCCUGGAGACAGAGUGAAGAAGCUGGGAGUUCAUAAGAAGUUGGGAGGUGACACAUCCAGGACAGCUGACCCCAACUGAUACAAGGCUUUUUCCAUACUUUGUGAUAUCACACUUAUAUAAAGAAGGGAGAAGAAAGAGAAAGUGGGGAAAUCUUUGAAGUGAUAGCAUUUGUCUUUGGAAGUAAUUGUUACACAUGCUGGAGCCCUGCUGUCCUGGAGGUGGCUGAACACCUGUCUGCCCAUGGAAGCCUGUGAUCUCUGCCUUUUGUGCCUCUGACUGGAGACGGAGCGGGGAGCAAGUUUAAGUGUGAACAUUACAACUGGAGAAUACCAUUCCUAAAUCAUGACAUAACCAAGUCCCACUGUGCACCAUUCCCGAAGGCCAGCUUUGUGCUAAAUAGAUUCAUCUCCUACCAGCUCCUAAAUAAGUGGGAAGAAGAAUGCACUUGGAGACGAUCUCAGAUUUCUGUUGACAAUAUCUCACCCUCUGCGGUGGCCAGAGCUCAGGGUCUCGAGACCUCCAGGGCAGCCAGAGGGAUGUCCUGGAAUCCGACAGGAGACAGCAUCAAAGGCUUUGCUGAAAUACAGGCCAAAGACACAUCUAAAAAAAGUUUCAAUUAUUCUACGUGGAAUUAACUCUCCUGACCACUCCCAAGAGGUCCUUUGUAGGAUGGCAGAUAAAAGUCAAAUUCACCACUAGAAGAACUCUAGUUUAACUGCCCUAAUAAGAUGCCAGUGCAAGAUCUUGUUUUUGUAGCACAUAAAAAGGCAACAAUCACAGAAGAAACUGCACAUCUGCAUGCUAAGGAAAAUCUCAGACCACCUCUUAUGUAACACCCCACACUUCUAUUACACCAGCAGCUAUGCCACAUCUGGCAACAGUCUUCAGUUCAAAUGCUGCCAAACUGCCUAAACCAGACACGAUCUCCUAACUCACAUUUGCACGUUCUCUGAGAUACUUCAGGUCUUUUACUGUUAACAGGAACUUGAGAAAAGCUGUAUUUGAACCAAAAAUUGUUUGAGAAGACUUUGCAUCAAAACUCCACUUUGAAGAAUCAUCAGAAAUUAGCAAGUGGCCAAUGAUAGAAAUAAAAUAUUACAUAUAAAAGGUCUUAUGUCACACUUCAUUAAAUCUUAAAACAAAGUAAAAACUUGUUCCGUCAGAACAACAGUGUUUCCACUCUCCUUUUCCAGCACACAGGCUUCAUCUGGACCAAAAUCUGAACUGCAGAACUAUUUAUGAUGUUACAUGUCAGAGAUGUCUGAAGAGGGUCAAAAAAAUAUUUUAUGUGACAAGGAUAUCCAGUAUUUUUUGACCUCCAUGGGAAAACAUGCUUUCCAAAAGGCUCCAGACUUUGAUGGUUUCCUAUCAGGACACUGAGGGAACUGAAAGCAACUGAAAAUUCUCCAGCAAUGCAGCUGCUAUAAGCAAGAUCGAGGAAGCACAGGGCUCAACAGUCACCUCAUGUGACUCUCUCCCUGUAGCCUCUGACAGGAAAAAGGAUGCACUGGGAAUAGUUUAUGGCUGCCAGGGAGAUGGCCAAGGACAGUUUUAGCAACUACUAAAAAUGAUUCCUGUUUACACCAGAGCUGCUGUUGGAAAGAUGAAAUAGCCCUUAUUUCUACCACCACCACACCUUCCCUCCCCUUCCUCCCCCACCCCACCCACAACAGCUCUGUUUAAAAAUUUUUUAAAUUCUGCAUUAAAAUUACAGGUACUACACAUGGAAUGCACCUCCACUUUAAAAACAAACAUUUUUCUUAAACAGUAUUUAAGUCAGAUCUAAGCUGGUACUGCACCUAGGCCACUUGCAUAUUGCACAGUGACAGUACUAAAUAAAUGCUUGAGAAAAGCAGCAUUACUUAUUUUUGUAUUAAGGCAUAAGUAUUUUUCCUGCUUUUUAAGAGCUGCUCAGGAUGAGAAGAAACUGCUGAAAUUCCCUCCGAAUCCUCUAGCUGCACUCUGUUCUUCAGUUUCGUGAACUGUAAGUAAUGGCAACUUCAAACACUAAAAAUGGAACUCUCGUCCAAUCUGUUCAGGAACGCACAAUUGGAAAAAAAUUUAAUCAAGCGACACUAUAUAAUGCAGAAGCAAUCAAAAGCAGUGAAACAAUUUGAAACCAUUACAAGAACAAUUUUUAAAAGUCCUAAACAUAGAAUAAGUACAAAAAUACAUGCAACACUGGAGCACACUCAGCAACUUCCGUGAAACAUUCAGUUUCAUAAAAAAGCUGAUGAACUAUUGCUCAAGAAAGAGAAACAAUGUAUCCUACUUGCAUGACAGUCUCAUUUGGUGCUUGGCAUCGCAGUUCUCAAUAAACUCAUGCACUACAUAUGUGGCAAUUAUAUUGAAAAAGCGAUACCAAUAUAGGUAAAGCUGCUAAUAUUUGCAUUAGGUCAUCCGGUUGCAACUUGUCUCUCACAGUUCAUAACCUGAAAUUCAAUGCAUCAUCAAUGACCCCCUUCUUCCAUUUAAUUUUCAUCAAUUAAAAAUAUGAUAGUCCGAAAGUCUCAUUUUCUAAAGCCAGUGCCAAGUUUGAUUCUACAUUUUCUCUAAUAUAUGGCGAGUACAAAUAUAGAAUUUUAGCAUAUUUAAAGAAAACUAGUUAUGUAUUUACCUGUAUUGAAAACUAUCUGACAGAAAACACAAAUAGCAGGCAGCCAGCCAUUCAUACAGAAAUGAUUCAGUAUUAACAUGGUCAUAGUAUUAAUGAAUUCCUAACGAGAUAAUGCUGCUUACAACUGGUUUUCCAUGAACAACGUUUUCAUGGUGUUACACAGUGGACAGGCAUAUCAUUUAAGCAGCGGCUGAAUACUAUAAAGAGAUGAAGCCCUCUAUUUACCCACCGGCCAGGAAGAAAUCACAGAGCUUCAUACACUCUUGAGAUGGAGCGAUCUCUCCAGUGGCAUGAUACAACCAUCACACUAUGUUACCACGGUGCAUUUCCUGCACGAGGAAUUACAAAUGUCAUAUAUUUUAUGUGCUUGAGAUGUUAUUACAGCACCCAAUCUCUACCAAAAUAAAGUUUGUUGGUAUUUCCAUUACAA